Molecule: long non-coding RNA, 2793 nt
Filed under: Canis lupus familiaris (dog)
Lineage: Eukaryota; Metazoa; Chordata; Mammalia; Carnivora; Canidae
Description: lncRNA (ENSCAFG00040015237.1)
Source: RNAcentral
CCCCCCCCACCCCCCCUGCGGCCCCCGCAGCCGGUUAGCCUGAACUCUGGCACCGCCCCCCACGCACAGUCUGGGCCUCUGCCGCCCGCCCUGCCUCCUGUUGCCCACAUCCCCGCGGCCCCUGAGCCCAGAAGCAUGCUUCUAAAGGCGACCCAAGGACGCGACCGGUGGCAGCCGGGUCACCAGCCAGCCACACAAAGGAGACCCUGAACCUUGCCCGAAUGACUGCCACCUGGGCCACCUGGGCCACCUGCGUCACCUCCUUCGGGUACCCUGAAUGCCGAGGUAUGCCUGGCACUCCGAAGGGCAUCAGGAAGUAUCUUAUGGGUCUCUUGGGUUUCUUAGAUGCUGAGGCAACCUGUUACCGAAAUACUCUACUGACGGCCCCCAAAACAGAUCUGGUUUUGCCCACAAAUACAGAAGCUUGGCUUUUGAGAUACAUGGGAACCCGUGGCUCUAUGGGAGGUGGGGUUCCCUGCAUGGGUGUGGCAGCCUGUUCACAGAUGCUCCCAGCGUUGCGCCUUGGGGGAGAUCGCUUCAGCCAUGGUAUACUGGUGGCGUCUCUCAGUGGGACCUUGAGAGUGUCUCAGCUGGGUCUUCAUCUGUCUGUGGGUCCAUGGCUUUGUGUCACUGUCAAUAUGCCCACUGGCCUCUUCCACUCUUGCAACAUUCUCCCGCUGCUCCUCCAGAGAAAGCCUGGAGCCCUUCAGGGAUGGGGCGCUGGCCCCGCCCAGCCUGCAGGCUGUAGGAUUUAUGGGCCCCUGGGCAGGCGGGUAGCAAGACCUGAGGAGAGCAUGUGGGGGGGUGGGAGUGGGUAGCCUGCAUUCAGAGGUGUGGCCGGCAGCGGGGUGGAGCCUGGAUCACGUUGGGCUUCUUAGCUGUAAGCAGUGCCUGCUGCUGACCCUCAGCGGACCUCCACCGACCAGAUGAACGGAAUCCAGGCCUCACACCCCUGCAGGGCAGAAAGGGCCACUUUACCCAGGGCCCCUUUACUCCCUUCUGGUCCCUGAGCAGCACCCUUUCCAGGGGGACCCCUCCAUGUAGGUCACCCACCUUGUCCUGCCUCACCAGAACCCCUUCCUAGCACUUCCUGUGACUUGGUGACAUGUGUGUAGGUUUGUGCGUUUGCUGAGCUUCACUGACCCCGGUCAGAGGGCACCUUCAUUGGGACCCAUCUGUCUUGUUCGCGGGUGUAUGACCAGCACUGAGAAGGAUACCCGGCGUGCAGUAGGUACUCCCGGCAAAUGCAUCCCCGUUUUACAGGUGGAAGAUGGCCUCCCAGAGGUAACACUCACCCCACUGGAGUGACAGGGGAGGUCACUGUGCCCCACACCUGCUGCCCAGGGGCUGCCAGGUGCCGUGGGACUACCCUAUCCGCGAGUUCCCAGGUGGGCAGUGGUUCUGGCCACACCGCUGGGGCCUCACACAGACAGUCUGUUACCCAAUCUCACCAUCGUCCCCAAUUUUCUCCUGGGGAAAUGUUGAAAGAAAAAACACUUUUCUUCUGAUGGGACAAGGGAGGAGGGCUUGGGAGCUGGAGAUGCCCAUGGAGGGGGGCAUCAGGCUCCUCCGGUGUAGAUCUGAAAGAGAUUCUCAAUACUGUAAAGUCCUGUUUGGAAAGCUGAUAAGGGACACCUGGGUGGCUCAGCAGUUGAGUGCCUGCCUUCAGCUCAGGUUGUGAUCCCGGGGUCCUGGGAUCAAGUCCCACAUCGAGCUCCCCAGAGGGAGCCUGCUUCUCCCUCUGCCUGUGUCUCUGCCUCUCUGUGUCUCUCAUGAAUAAAUAAAAUCUUUACAGAAAAAUAUAAAAAAUAAAUGAAAAGCUGACAAAACCUUUUUCUUCUAGAAGGUGAAGCCCUGAAGAAUCUUCUGGGUUGGUGGAGAGAAGAGAUUUUCUCUUAAAUCAGUGGCUCUCAACUAGUAGGGACCAGCAUGGCUCUGCUCAGAUUCUGCCCUGGAGCAUCACCAGAGCAGGGAAGCCCGGUUUGAUGGGCAGGGACAUGCCAGCGUCCUGUCUGGCCCUGUCAGGGUGCUCGGGGUCCCCACAAUGACCCAGGGGAGUGCUGGGUGAGUUCAUCACUGAGUCCAUCCCAGUCCCUGCCAGGUAACAGCUGAGAGCUCUCCUGGGCAUCUCUGGGGCUCAGCACAGCAUGUGACACCAGGUAACACAUUUGAAGCUGAGUGGUCACCACCACCUAAGGCCCACAGAAGCCCACCGCCAGGAGAAGGGGCCAUCACUGGGUACCAGGUGCCGGGCAACAGGAGACACUCUGGGGACAUGCUGGCUCCCACAGGCACAGCCACCAGAGGCUGACCUGCCCACCGGCCCAUCCACCCACGACUUCCUCCUGCUGGAGCCAGCCUGGGGCUCCAUAGCCUCCAGGGUUCUCUCCGGUUGGGUGACACAUCUGGAGGGAAGGGCCAAGGCUGUUUCAUGCCCGCAGCUGAGAUAGAGUGAGCAUGAUGUGAUCCCUCCCCGCCACACGGCAUCCGGGGCAGGGGUGGGGCACCCAGCCUCUGAAGUCUCAAGAUUUGGCCCCAUAGUCCACUUGCCCAAUGCACCAGAGCCUCGGUUCCCUAUCUAUAAACUGGGACACUAGUGUCACGUGGCAUGGCUGGGAUGACCUGAGCACAUGACCCAGGCUGGCCCAGCAAAGGCCACUCCUGACUUUGCAUCUUCUGUGUGGAGGUAGGUUCCCAGUGUCUUCACACUUGCCAGGGAGGAAGUAGCACCAGGGACCAGGAUGGAAGCCCAGGAAGGGGAGUCAGCCAUCCUGCAGGAUCAGGGAUGCCAGC